AUGUUAAUGCGACCUAGUUACUGGUAACCGUAAUACCUAGUGCUAGAGGGUGGCAAGUCCCUUUAACGCAGAGUCGACAU
This 80-nucleotide non-coding RNA is filed under the name unclassified sequences. The record is from RNAcentral.